UCGAUUUCGGCCCACAAGGAAACCCAGCCCGCUCCUGCACAUACUCUCCGGUCUACCCUCCAGAGAUUACUUCGCGCACGAGCACCACCCGUUCUAGGAGUGACUGUCAUCACUUCAACAUUCUCUCGCCGAUGGCGUCCUGCUGGCAGACUCGACUGUUGUCCUCACCCUGCACUACUACUGGUUCUGAGCUCCUGUUUUCGAUUUCGGCCCACAAGGAAACCCAGCCCGCUCCUGCACAUACUCUCCGGUCUACCCUCCAGAGAUUACUUCGCGCACGAGCACCACCCGUUCUAGGAGUGAACUGUCAUCACUUCAACAUUCUCUCGCCGAUGGCGUCCUGCUGGCAGACUCGACUGUUGUCCUCACCCUGCACUGCUACUGGUUCUGAGCUCCUGUUUUCGAUUUCGGCCCACAAGGAAACCCAGCCCGCUCCUGCACAUACUCUCCGGUCUACCCUCCAGAGAUUACUUCGCGCACGAGCACCACCCGUUCUAGGAGUGACUGUCAUCACUUCAACAUUCUCUCGCCGAUGGUGUCCUGCUGGCAGACUCGACUGUUGUCCUCACCCUGCACUACUACUGGUUCUGAGCUCCUGUUUUCGAUUUCGGCCCACAAGGAAACCCAGCCCGCUCCUGCACAUACUCUCCGGUCUACCCUCCAGAGAUUACUUCGCGCACGAGCACCACCCGUUCUAGGAGUGACUGUCAUCACUUCAACAUUCUCUCGCCGAUGGCGUCCUGCUGGCAGACUCGACUGUUGUCCUCACCCUGCACUGCUACUGGUUCUGAGCUCCUGUCUUCGAUUUCGGCCCACAAGGACACUCGGAUCGCUCGAGCACACACUCUCCGGUCUACGCUCCAGAGUAAAUUACUUCGAUCUCCACUCGGCCUGUGACCGACCAUGUUCUCUCGCCGAUGGCGUCCUGCUGGUAUACUGGACCUAUGGUGGAGCCUUUGUACUUGAUUAUGGUUGCGAGGGUGUUAUCGCCUGUGGCGCGAUAUAAUUGUUCCAGCACGCAUUUACAAGAGCAUUCCUGGCCUUCAAGAGCGACAAUCUUCAGCCCGAUCGUCCUGCCGCUUCCUCUGACCUCUGUAACCAUCGUACGCCUCCAUCAUGGCUGUGUCCUGCGCUGUGACGGCUGCGUGUUAAUGCUCUGAAGGACUGCUUGUCGCCGUCCCGCGACCGUCUAUCGGAUGUGCUUCUACAGUUAAUCUGUUGCCUUGUUUUUACACAGGCAUAUUUAAUGUUUCGUAUAGCAAGCUUUUCUGCUUUGAAAGAGUGGUACGUUGCUCAGCGGAUGGAUGGCGCUUCUAGCAAUUACGAUAAUACGAAGCGGAACAGUAAGGUCUGGUUACGUGGACACCACCCAGUUUUUCAGAAGGGUUGUUGAAGCCUUCAUGAGCUGAUCUGUAAAUUUUUGGUGGCGAGAGUAAUGGACAUUCCUUCACAUUGUGCACUUUCGUAGUAGUACGUUGAUGUGUGUGUGUGUGUGUGUGUGUGUGUGUGUGUGUGUGUGUGUGUGUUACCCUGUUGUGCGCGCGUACUGGUUUGUUCAUUUUUUAUGUGCCCACCUGUUCGUGCUCCUUUUGUUCGCCGCUAUUCGGCGCACUUCGAAUUCAUUGUAUUUCGGUAGCAUUUCCAGUCUCACCGUUGUAUCCACAAAGCCCGUUGAUGGUUCAUUUCCUUGCUUCAUCCCGGUUGAAAGCUGCCUGGUUUGAUGGCUCACUAUCGACCAUGGCAUCCACUUUUGGAUUGGUUGAACAACUCGUUUCUUUGGCUUUGUUUCUUUGGUUGAUCUCGGUACUCGUUUCAGCAUUCAGCGAAUUUGUUUAGGCAUCCUUCUCGUGUAAGAAGCCCUCGUUUCCGAUACAUUUUCGGUUCUUCCACGUCGCUCAUCACCGACCCAAAAUAUCAACAUGCCACUACAAAAGCACACAAUGCCAAUGAAUGGGAAAGGGGAGGGUAGUUACUCUCGCCAGCAAAAAUUUCCUGAUUAGCUCAUGAUCGUAAUGAUGACCAUUUUAAAAACUGGUUGGUGAUAAAUGUAGCCAUGCUCACUGUUCCUAGUUUUGAUGUGCCUGAAUCAUUAAAUGCGUUUAUGGAUGGGUGACUGUAUGGAUAAGAGCAUUCUCCAUGAAGCGGUGUGGUGCUUGCGCCGUGAGUUGUCUGCGUCACUUACCGGCCCCUAAAGCUGUGGUUCGUAAGAUAUGUGAACCGUGGAACCUCGCAGAAAUAUUUUGCCAUUGUAGACGCAGGCGUCGGAGCAGCCUUCGACGAUGCCGCGUAGCACGCAUCUCUACCUGGUCUAACAUUUGUAUUGCCUGUCGUUUGUUCAUCGGGCAGAGCUACCCACUUUCGCCGCUUCUUCACCGCGUAUACUGUGCCGCAUUGCCGCCGUGGUUUGCGAUUUGUGUGCAUAAUUAUCAUGUACGGCGCCAGGUCAGUAGUAACAGUGAACCGCCAUGGCGCCCUUGACGGGUCUGAUCUCGUUGCCUGAUGACUGUAGAUAUUACGCACAGUUUUCUCAUUUCGUGCUUGAAGUUCACCGCUUGAGCCAUUGUCGAACGACUGCUUCACAUUGGCUACAUUUAUUUCCCCUUAUGCCAAAUCAUGUGUAAACGCGUCUAGACAAAAAAAAAAAAAAAAAAAAGCACGAGCGCGCGCAAUGAAAUCUUCAAAAGAAAAUGUCCGCUUUAGUUGUAUUUUGUUUAAGCGACUAGUUUACCGGUUCCUCUUCUUUUUUUUUUACUGUACGCUGUGUUAAUAUUUACAUGUCUCUUCGAAUGAAUUUGAAUGCGUUUGCUUGGAAUAGUGUUUGAAUUUGAUCAUGCUUCCGCUGUUGUCCUAAUGCCGAUUUAAGGACGCACACCUUGAGUUAUUACUUUCAAUGUUAUCAGUAACCUCCAAUAGCCUUGAAAACUAAAGGUGAGCAAUGUCCUUGGAAAAUUCUUACCCGUACCGUUGUGAUGGGAAAGUCAAACCAUGCACGCAUGCGCGAUGCUGCUCAAUAUCGUACGCAUUUUUCUUGACCCCGAACAUGCACAAGGCUCUAUUGAGCCUUUCUGUAGGAAGUAUCUUUUUAUUUUCAUCAGUUGUAACGACAGUCCUGCGAUUACGCCACAGAAUACUCGCAAGCAGUGUGGAGAUUUGGACUUAUGUGCUGAAGGUUCUUUUUUUUUGUGUGUGUGUGUGUAACGCAACUGGUACAUGGACGCAGAGAAAGAACAAGACACACCCACACAGAACUCAAUAGUUUCUAAUACGACAGCGAUGCAUGACAUUACUGCACAUUGAGAGGCCUGUGAUAUUGGAGGAUGUGACGCGGUAUAUAGGAUCAUCGUGUCCAAAUGUUUUUGUCCCUUCUGUGCGUUUCGCACCCAACUGGGCAAUUUCGCAUACUUGCAUGCUUUCUCGUUUCCUAAAAACAAGAAUCAAGUUAACUUUCCUUUCAUCUCCAUGUGAAGGUGCUGUACAACGCUUGCUUGUUUCGGAUUGUUGUAAUAGCUUAAAGCUGUAAAACCUUUCAUGCAUAUGCAAAUAAACACGUAGGAAGUCUGUUAUUCCUUGGCUUAUGCUGUUUCGCUUUCGUUUGGUGUGUUGUACGAAAACCGUGUUUUGCAUUUUCAUGCGUCAAAGUAUCUUGAAGCUGAAAUUAUGUAUGCUAUGUAAAUCCCGGUAUGUAUUUGUGUGUUAGUCUACCAAUUCGUAAAUGCUUAUUCUCAUUCUGUAUAUUAAAUGUGUUGUAUGCUGGGCCGGUAUAUUGUAGCGAUGCGUUAUGCUUUAUUCUAUACUAGUCCACCGCUCACGGCAGGCUGAUCCCGUUGAUAACGUGAGCGGACGGUAGCUCUGGCCGCUGACCGAGCGCGAUAAGCGCGAAAAGGCAUUAGCAUCGGAAAGGCAUCGCUACAAAAUAGCGGCCCUGCCGUCUGCAGCAUGGGGAAUGAAGUCCCGUCAGGCGGCACUGAGUCGCUUUCAAUUUCAUUUGCUUGAGUCUCAUUUUGCUCCGGUUGUAUUGAACAUGCAUUGUAUUAAACUGCACGUUACGAAUCACCAGUCAAAAUAAAACUCCUUCCUGUUCUCGGUCUCACUAACUCCAUGUAGUGCGC
Dermacentor silvarum is the source of this 4109-nucleotide RNA transcript. RefSeq lists it as uncharacterized. The transcript is spliced from 6 exons. NCBI's taxonomy places the organism in Eukaryota, Metazoa, Arthropoda, Arachnida, Ixodida, Ixodidae. The record is from RefSeq and is a predicted model, not a curated record.